AAUAAAUUAUAAAUAUAUCUCUAAUUGUGUCGUGAUUUUAAGGCUCGCAUGCCUAAAAUUCUAAGCCCAGCCCAGCCCACGCUCACGUCAUGCUGUGUUGCGUGCACCACCGAAAUGUGCUUGUGUCGUGCCGUGCUCGUGCCACGUGCCGUCCGACCCAUUGGCCAUCUCUAAUUGCAUUACAUCUUCAUUUAUUGUUCGUUUUUGCAAAGCCCUUACAACUUUCGAGAGUAAAAAAUCAGGGAACAAAGCCAACUGCUCGUAACAAAAAAAAUAAAAAAUAAAAAAUAAAAAUCAUCUUCUCUUCUCUUCUAAAUGCGUCAAGCAAUUUCUUCUUCUCCUCUCUUCCAAAUGCACGGCAGUCUUGCUCUACCACCACGCCAUCUUGAUUUGCCGAGCAACACUGCAACUUCACCACCUCGCGUCGCGUGAUAACUAGCUUCACAGCCACCGUCGCAAGACACCACCAGCUCUAAUGCCUUCAUGAUCUACCUUCAUCAAGCUCAAAUCACACAAGCUCAAAUCACAAACCCUUAAAAGUGCAUAAACCAGUCAACAAUUAAAAAAAAAAAAAAGAUCCUAACAUCAAGCUCAGAUCAUAAACCAAUAAAUCCAUUUGCUAAUCUCUCAAAUAAACCAAAGAUAAAAACUUUAUAUAAAAUAAAUAAAACUUUUUCUUGAUAAGUAGUAAUCUUUGUGCUUGUUCAAAAAGAAAAAAGAUUAUGAAUUGACACUUCAAAGAAACACGAUUUAUGUUGCGAUUAAAUUUAGGUUGCGAAUUGGGAGUUGUGUGUCAAGGUGGUUGGUGAUUAAUUGAUAAAAAACAUACGAGACAUAAAACGAAGUGGGUAAAGGGUCUAUUAAAUAGAUAUUGGGAGCUGGUUGGUGAUUAAAUUGUAGUUGAGAAUUGGAAGUUGUGGUGGGUGAUUGUGGUUUUUAGCUAAUUUUGUAUACCUUAAUUAUUUAUUUAUGUUGUGAUACUACGUGAAAUUAUUCCAUCGGACGAUUUGA
Molecule: long non-coding RNA, 1011 nt
Filed under: Citrus x clementina
Lineage: Eukaryota; Viridiplantae; Streptophyta; Magnoliopsida; Sapindales; Rutaceae
Description: Citrus clementina (C. clementina) long non-coding RNA (CCLE_LNC003253)
Source: RNAcentral